RNAcentral lists this ribosomal RNA (478 nucleotides) under uncultured bacterium. RNAcentral describes it as "partial 16S ribosomal RNA". It matches the Rfam family "Bacterial small subunit ribosomal RNA", at positions 28 to 523 of the family's 1533-position model. The record is from RNAcentral.
GACGAACGCUGGCGGCGUGCUUAACACAUGCAAGUCGAACGGUAAGGCCCUUCGGGGUACACGAGUGGCGAACGGGUGAGUAACACGUGGGUGAUCUGCCCUGCACUUUGGGAUAAGCCUGGGAAACUGGGUCUAAUACCGGAUAGGACCAGGCGCUUCACGGUGUGUGGUGGAAAGCUUUUGCGGUGUGGGAUGGGCCCGCGGCCUGUCAGCUUGUUGGAGGGGGAAUGGCCUACCAAGGCGCCGACGGGUAGCCGGCCUGAGAGGGUGACCGGCCACACUGGGACUGAGAUACGGCCCAGACGCCUACGGGAGGCAGCAGUGGGGAAUAUUGCACAAUGGGCGCAAGCCUGAUGCAGCGACGCCGCGUGAGGGAUGACGGCCUUCGGGUUGUAAACCUCUUUCAGUAGGGACGAAGCGCAAGUGACGGUACCUACAGAAGAAGGACCGGCCAACUACGUGCCAGCCGCCGCAGUAA